UGGAGAGUUUGAUCCUGGCUCAGGACGAACGCUGGCGGCGUGCUUGAUACAUGCAAGUCAAGGAGAACNUUUCCUUCGGGAAANUAUUAAACUGGCGAACGGGUGAGUAACACGUAGGCAACCUACCCUAGAGAUUGGGAUAACUCCGGGAAACCGGNGCUAAUACCGAAUAAUGCAGCGGAUCCUUCGGGAUAUUGUUGUUAAAGCGGGCUUCGGCUCGCACUUUUGGAUGGGCCUGCGCCCGAUUAGCUUGUUGGUAAGGUAANGGCUUACCAAGGCCAUGAUCGGUAGCUGGUCUGAGAGGAUGAUCAGCCACACUGGGAUUGAGAUACGGCCCAGACUUCUACGGAAGGCAGCAGUAAGGAAUUUUGCGCAAUGGACGAAAGUCUGACGCAGCAACGCCGCGUGAUCGAUGAAGCUUCUAGGAGUGUAAAGAUCUGUCGUAAGGGAAGAAAAACCUGGAUGUAAAUAAUGUUCAGAUUUGACGGUACCUUUCAAGAAAGCACCGGCUAACUUCGUGCCAGCAGCCGCGGUAAUACGAGGGGUGCUAGCGUUGUCCGGAAUAACUGGGCGUAAAGGGUUCGUAGGCGUUUUACCAAGUUGAUUGUUAAAUCCACCGGCUUAACCGGUGACCUGCAAUCAAAACUGGUAGAAUAGAAUAUGUGAGAGGAAUGUGGAAUUCCUGGUGUAGCGGUGACAUGCGUAGAUAUCAGGAGGAACACCAAUGGCGAAGGCAGCAUUCUGGCACAAUAUUGACGCUGAGGAACGAAAGCGUGGGGAGCGAACAGGAUUAGAUACCCUGGU
RNAcentral lists this ribosomal RNA (804 nucleotides) under Fidelibacterota bacterium. RNAcentral describes it as "bacterial SSU rRNA". It matches the Rfam family "Bacterial small subunit ribosomal RNA", at positions 1 to 791 of the family's 1533-position model. Lineage: Bacteria; Pseudomonadati; Fidelibacterota. The record is from RNAcentral.